AUGCUCUGCCGAGCCAGGAACUGCAUCGCCGUCCCUACCGAGGCUGCCGCCGCUGCCCAUGAGCACCGCCGUUGCCACCCCACCAAAGCUCCCUCCGGUCUGCGCCACGUUGCUCCACCGGGAGUACAAAGGAGCAGCAGCCACCACGGAGGAGGCGUCUGCGCUGUUCUGGCUGCUCCAUCGAAUAAGGCCGUCGCCGGGAGCUGCUUCGCACCGUCGUCGCCACGCCGCUGCCCCUGCCAUCCUGCACAACGUCACCUGCGGGGUCGGCCAAUCUCCUCUCGGUGCUCUACAACGUCCAUGGCCGGAGCUUGCUGCUACCGCCUGGUCUCCGUGCGCGCGCCACCCGUGCCGCAUGCACCAGCACCACCGCACCUCCUUUUCAUGUGUGCGCUGCGGACAACAGGGUGCCGCCUCCCUCAACGCCUGUGGGUCACCAGUCGCCAUCACAGGAACGAGCGCCGCCCACGCGCUGGGCUCCUCUAUUACCGAUUAGCGUCGCCACCCAGUCACCCGCGUUCCCGUCCGCGGUCGUCAUCGACGGACUCACGGUCAAUGCUCUUGCACGUGGUGCUUCUGCUACUAUCCCUCUCUCCCAGUUAUGUGUACUAA
RNAcentral lists this ribosomal RNA (612 nucleotides) under Triticum aestivum (bread wheat). RNAcentral's name for it is "partial small subunit ribosomal RNA". Lineage: Eukaryota; Viridiplantae; Streptophyta; Magnoliopsida; Poales; Poaceae. The record is from RNAcentral.